Molecule: non-coding RNA, 459 nt
Organism: Danio rerio (zebrafish)
Lineage: Eukaryota; Metazoa; Chordata; Actinopteri; Cypriniformes; Danionidae
Source: RefSeq, a predicted model, not a curated record
UAUACCCAGCCCAAAGGAAAGCUCUUCUUCUUGAUUCUCUUGGAGAGACUGAGGUGUAGAAAAAGAAGUGUUUGGAAACGGCAAGGUAUUUUAAUUCGGCAUAAUCUGAUAUUGGAAGUUAACUGACAGACAGACAGAAAAAAACAAAACAAAACAAAAAAACCUUUUUGCAGCACAAUUAUGAAGAAACUUCCAGUUUCACAUUGGGUGUGUGAAACACUGCCUCACCCACAUCAAAAAGAUGGAACAUCAUGUGGUGUGUUUGCGUUGAAGUUUGCAGAAUACAUCCUUAAAGAGAAGGAAAUUGACUUCUGCAGUGCACCACAAGAAGUAAAACGACUCCGAUUAGAGAUUGCAUCAACACUUCUUGACCAAUCUGAUGAUCUAAGUGACCUGUGUCACUUUUGUGGGGAGGCAGAGACAUUUGAUGAAUCUGAGAAUGUUCUCUGGGUAACAACA